AGAGAGAAAAAGUUCAUAAACUUAACCUUAUCUUCUCUCUAUCUCCGCCUAGGCUCACUCACCCUCCCUUUCUCCCCCGCAGAAACCUAAACCAGAUCUAUAACUUCAUUUCUCAUCAUGGAAUUAAGCCAUGCCAAGAUUUCUUCGUCAAGAAGAAAAUGACAACAAUACCAGGGUCUUUUGAUUUGGGAGACUGUGAGGAGGAACAAUACUUUCCUUGGUUUUGACAUUUGAGCCAGAUCUAGUCAGAUCUGUUCUUGUUUAUACUUUUCCCCCUUAAUUUUCAAUGUUGCAUUAAUUUUCUUUUGUUUGUUUUAGGCUUUUGCAUUUAGAUUUAACCCGUCUCAUUUGCAAUUUGGCUUUGAUUUUCAAAGUUUCAAGAAUUUCCUAGUUUUCAAUUCCUAUUACCGACUUAGGAAUUUUAUAAUUUGUGAUGCAGAUAAAUGAAGGUUCCCAGUGUUUGCAACUGCAGUAACCAAGAAACUAAUUGAAGGAGUGGAUAAGAACCUAUGCAUCAUUCAAACCUGAGAACAACUACAACGUUGCUGGCUUCAUGUUGAUGAACCGUAUUUUAAAGCAAUUCAGAGAUUUCCAUCCAAAGAUCCUAAAAGUCCUUCAACAGGGAGGCUUACUUCAGAUAUGUGGCAUCCAAAUGGGAUUGAUGCUUCCACUGGAUAGAAAGCUAUGAUAUAGUAAACCCAUUACUAUUUUGGGUUUUGGGUUAUCACUAUACUAGUUUGCAAAUGUUGGUUGCUUCAGUUCUUUUCAAUAUGCUAUGCCUGUAUUCAUCCUUAUGCUGUCAACUGCAGGAAGAAGAAGUGUGGACAAAAAUCCAUAUGAUUCUUGUUUGAUGGUAUCGGACACCUUUAAUUAUGUCGUUUUGAUCAAGAUGGAUGUUCUGAUCUUGAGUAUAGGAGGUCCUAGUUACUUAGAUCUUCCUCCUGUUGAGAAGGUCAAACAUUCAUGGAUUGUUGCUUAAAAGUAUCUAAUUAUCAUUUUGGAAUGACCUUGAUAAACUUGGUUGCAUGUUUUGAUUUCGGAAGUAGUGCAUAUUGUUAAUUGUAUGAGCCACUUUGGUGGGAAGGAAUUAUAACAAGUCUAUGAUUACUUUGACUACAAUGAGUUCUAUGGGGGGAGUUGUUUUAUGGUUUUAAUGUUUCCUUGAAUAAGUUUUGCUCACUGAAUGUAUGAGAAACAUAUUAUCUUCUACAUUUUACCAUGAAAAUCUAAAAAUGGUGAACUGACACCAGCUUAGGUAAUAGUUUAAUGGUCUUUUGUUCAUCUUCGUGUAGGAAAGUAGGUUUUAGGGGUUUUAUCUUAUGUUUUUGGAUCUUGGUGUCCAUGUGACAGAAGGAUUUAUAUUCUUCUUUUUUGUUGUUGUUUUUCCUGUUGUAUUUUGUGAAUGCACUUUUUCGAACUCAACCUGUACGAGUGACUAUCAUGUUGUUAAUAACGUAAUUUAAAUAUCUGCAAGAAUUGAUAAUUUAAAUGCCUGCAGGAACUGAAUCAUCCUCUGAUUCUUGGUCACAACUAGAAGAUAUCUGACUGGAGUUGGCUGUUACGAAAAAUAGAGCCCUUUCAAUUAUGGUCGUGGUUGUUCAAAGUGGGUACUCGAUAAGCAUCACGCUGGAGUGUCAAGGGUGCUGUAAUUCUUAAAAAGCUUGCUCCUACAAUUGGUAUCGCUGUGGACCACAGGCGUAGAAACAAGUCAUUGGAAGGGCUCCAAACUAUUUUCUAGCGGCUUAAGACAUACUAGGCCAAGCUCGUUUUCUUCCCAAGACAUGCAGGCAAAUUCAAGAACACUCAAGUUGGAGAUGCUCACUCCAGUUGAAGGUGUUCCUUCAGAAACCUUGGAUCCAAUCAUUCCCGCUGUGAGAGCUUCGUUAAGUAAAGAUCCAGACUCUCAGCCAUUAGUAGUGAAGAUCCAGACUCUCAGCCACCACUCAUUUCCGCUUUUAAGCCAGUGUGUCCUCUAUGUAUAUUGUAGUUGGAUGUCUGGAAUAUAUUUUGGGGUAUAUGAAAUGUUGAUGAAUCAGUGAUGUUGAAUUUCAUUAUCAAAAUGAAAUCUAGAUUUAUUUUUUUCAUGA
Long non-coding RNA from Papaver somniferum (opium poppy), 2087 nucleotides. RefSeq lists it as uncharacterized. The transcript has 10 exons. The record is from RefSeq and is a predicted model, not a curated record. Lineage: Eukaryota; Viridiplantae; Streptophyta; Magnoliopsida; Ranunculales; Papaveraceae.